RNAcentral lists this unclassified non-coding RNA (520 nucleotides) under uncultured Glomus. Its description in RNAcentral is "SSU rRNA". It matches the Rfam family "Eukaryotic small subunit ribosomal RNA", at positions 569 to 1091 of the family's 1831-position model. The record is from RNAcentral. Lineage: Eukaryota; Fungi; Glomeromycota; Glomeromycetes; Glomerales; Glomeraceae.
AGCAGCCGCGGUAAUUCCAGCUCCAAUAGCGUAUAUUAAAGUUGUUGCAGUUAAAAAGCUCGUAGUUGAAUUUCGGGAUCAAUAUGUUGGUCGUGCCUUGGUACGUACUGGCGUCAUUGGUUUCUACCUUCUGAAGAACCUCGAUGUCAUUAAUUUGGUGUCUUGGGGAAUCAGGACUGUUACUUUGAAAAAAUUAGAGUGUUUAAAGCAAGCUCACGCUUGAAUACACUAGCAUGGAAUAAUGAAAUAGGACGUUUGAUUCUAUUUUGUUGGUUUCUAGGAUCGACGUAAUGAUUAAUAGGGAUAGUUGGGGGCAUUAGUAUUCAAUUGUCAGAGGUGAAAUUCUUGGAUUUAUUGAAGACUAACUACUGCGAAAGCAUUUGCCAAGGAUGUUUUCAUUAAUCAAGAACGAAAGUUAGGGGAUCGAAGACGAUCAGAUACCGUCGUAGUCUUAACCAUAAACUAUGCCGACUAGGGAUCGGAUGAUGUUAAUUUUUUAAUGACUCAUUCGGCGCCUUAC